GAUGAACGCUGGCGGCGUGCCUAAUACAUGCAAGUCGAACGCUUUGUGGUUCAACUGAUUUGAAGAGCUUGCUCAGAUAUGACGAUGGACAUUGCAAAGAGUGGCGAACGGGUGAGUAACACGUGGGAAACCUACCUCUUAGCAGGGGAUAACAUUUGGAAACAGAUGCUAAUACCGUAUAACAAUGACAACCGCAUGGUUGUUAUUUAAAAGAUGGUUCUGCUAUCACUAAGAGAUGGUCCCGCGGUGCAUUAGCUAGUUGGUAAGGUAAUGGCUUACCAAGGCGAUGAUGCAUAGCCGAGUUGAGAGACUUGAUCGGCCACAAUGGGACUGAGACACGGCCCAUACUCCUACGGGAGGCAGCAGUAGGGAAUCUUCCACAAUGGGCGAAAGCCUGAUGGAGCAACGCCGCGUGUGUGAUGAAGGGUUUCGGCUCGUAAAACACUGUUGUAAGAGAAGAAUGACAUUGAGAGUAACUGUUCAAUGUGUGACGGUAUCUUACCAGAAAGGAACGGCUAAAUACGUGCCAGCAGCCGCGGUAAUACGUAUGUUCCAAGCGUUAUCCGGAUUUAUUGGGCGUAAAGCGAGCGCAGACGGUUAUUUAAGUCUGAAGUGAAAGCCCUCAGCUCAACUGAGGAAUUGCUUUGGAAACUGGAUGACUUGAGUGCAGUAGAGGAAAGUGGAACUCCAUGUGUAGCGGUGAAAUGCGUAGAUAUAUGGAAGAACACCAGUGGCGAAGGCGGCUUUCUGGACUGUAACUGACGUUGAGGCUCGAAAGUGUGGGUAGCAAACAGGAUUAGAUACCCUGGUAGUCCACACCGUAAACGAUGAGUGCUAGGUGUUUGAGGGUUUCCGCCCUUAAGUGCCGCAGCUAACGCAUUAAGCACUCCGCCUGGGGAGUACGACCGCAAGGUUGAAACUCAAAGGAAUUGACGGGGACCCGCACAAGCGGUGGAGCAUGUGGUUUAAUUCGAAGCAACGCGAAGAACCUUACCAGGUCUUGACAUCCCUUGACAACUCCAGAGAUGGAGCGUUCCCUUCGGGGACAAGGUGACAGGUGGUGCAUGGUUGUCGUCAGCUCGUGUCGUGAGAUGUUGGGUUAAGUCCCGCAACGAGCGCAACCCUUAUUACUAGUUGCCAGCAUUCAGUUGGGCACUCUAGUGAGACUGCCGGUGACAAACCGGAGGAAGGUGGGGAUGACGUCAAAUCAUCAUGCCCCUUAUGACCUGGGCUACACACGUGCUACAAUGGCGUAUACAACGAGUUGCCAACCCGCGAGGGUGAGCUAAUCUCUUAAAGUACGUCUCAGUUCGGAUUGUAGAGCUGCAACUCGCCUACAUGAAGUCGGAAUCGCUAGUAAUCGCGGAUCAGCACGCCGCGGUGAAUACGUUCCCGGGUCUUGUACACACCGCCCGUCACACCAUGAGAGUUUGUAACACCCAAAGCCGGUGGGGUAACCUUCGGGAGCCAGCCGUCUAAGGUGGGACAGAUGAUUAGGGUG
Molecule: ribosomal RNA, 1501 nt
Filed under: Weissella confusa
Lineage: Bacteria; Bacillati; Bacillota; Bacilli; Lactobacillales; Lactobacillaceae
Description: bacterial SSU rRNA
Rfam family: Bacterial small subunit ribosomal RNA
Source: RNAcentral